GAGUUUUGAACAGGUUGUAGCUGGCCUUUCACGAGGCAUGUGCACGCCUGGCUCAUCCACUCUCUUACCUCUGUGCACCCUUUGUAGGAAAAAAAAAGAAAAGGUUACAGACCGCUAGCCGGUUGAAGGCCUCUCUCUCUUUAUCCUAUGUUUUACUACAAACGCUUCAGUAUCAGAAUGUUUAUCUUGCGUAACGCAUUAUAAUACAACUUUCAGCAACGGAUCUCUUGGCUCU
Molecule: unclassified non-coding RNA, 235 nt
Filed under: rhizosphere metagenome
Description: partial ribosomal RNA internal transcribed spacer region
Source: RNAcentral